UUAAUUUUCAGAUCUAGAUCUGAAUAUCAGAUCUGAAUAUCCAAAAAACGAACGCAGACCUCGCCGCCUCGCCUCGCCGUUCGCCUUCGCAUCUCUUCCGCCGUUCGCUCUCCGUCGCCCAUCGCUCUCCAGCCGUCGUCGCUCCGUCACCCAGCCGCCGUCCACCUCCAUCGCCGCCGCCGCUUUAGACCUCCAUCGCCCAGCACGCUGCUAGCUUUCUCGGCGCCGGACGAACUGCCACACCUCCUCGCCGCCGGACGCCACUGCAGACCUCCUCCCCGUUUCGCAGCACCACCCCGCGCCUGGCGCCCUCCCCGCGUUCGCCGCUGUCGGUCCGUCGUCGAUCAUCAGUGUCCUACACAAUCCGGUAGUGUGGAGUGCGGAUAUUAUGUCUUGCGAUUUAUGUUUGAGAUAUGCACUCAAUACUAUGAGUAUGAAGAUUUAGCAUCGGCAUUUGCGGGGUCAAAGUCCUACACGGAGAAUCAAAUCCAUGAAAUUCGUGAAAUUUGGGCUAAAUACUUUUGUGAAGAAUGCUUAUGACAUUUUGUGUAGGUAAAGUGUUGUAAUGAUGUAAUGAUGAAUGUGUUAUGUUUUAUAAAAUUGUAAUGAUGUAUGUGUUAAGUAUUUGGUAUAUGUUAAAAUUAUGUGUUUACUAUUAACAUUAUGUGUUUACUUAUUAUGUUUUAUUUGGUAUGUGUUAAGUAUUUUGGUAACGUAGUUUUACUUUGAAUUGGUGAGAAAUAUUUAGAUUUGAAGUAGCUAGUGUUGAAGUUGAUAUAUUGUUGAAGUUUUGAAAACAUUGAAGUAGCUUUGAAGUGUUGAAGUGUUGGAUAGGUGUGGUUUGAUGUGGUGUGGUUUGAUGUUUGGUGUAUGGUUU
This is a long non-coding RNA of Ipomoea triloba (trilobed morning glory), 877 nucleotides long. RefSeq lists it as uncharacterized. The record is from RefSeq and is a predicted model, not a curated record. The transcript has 3 exons. Lineage: Eukaryota; Viridiplantae; Streptophyta; Magnoliopsida; Solanales; Convolvulaceae.